RNAcentral lists this ribosomal RNA (1260 nucleotides) under Leccinum persicinum. Its description in RNAcentral is "eukaryotic LSU rRNA". The stretch from base 166 to 320 matches the Rfam family "5.8S ribosomal RNA". Lineage: Eukaryota; Fungi; Basidiomycota; Agaricomycetes; Boletales; Boletaceae. The record is from RNAcentral.
GAUCAUUAAUGAACUCUUAGAUUGUCGCUGGUCAAGUUAAUUCUUGGCAUCGUGCACAUCUUUGUUAUCCAACUACACACACUUGUGAACCUAUUGUAGAUCGCAAGAUCUAUGUCUUUCAUCACUUCUUAAACGUAUGUCUCAGAAUGUAAACCAAAUUAUUACAACUUUCAGCAAUGGAUCUCUUGGUUCUCGCAUCGAUGAAGAACGCAGCGAAUUGCGAUAAGUAAUGUGAAUUGCAGAUUUUCAGUGAAUCAUCGAAUCUUUGAACGCACCUUGCGCUCCUUGGUAUUCCGAGGAGCAUGCCUGUUUGAGUGUCAUUUAAUUAUCAAUCUAUAAUAACAUUUUAAAUUGGAGUUGGGAAUUGCUGGCUUUGAUUAGUCGGCUGUCCUUAAAAGCAUUAGCGAGCGAUAAGUAGUCAUUUCUACGUGCACGGCCUCUGACGUGAUAAUGAUCGUUGUGGGCUGGAAGCGUAUUGAUGGUCGAAAAGCUUGCUUCGAAAACCCUAUUAAUUAGUGUAAUUCCUAUUUGGAUAUGGCCAAAGACAUAGUAAGCUGGAACCAUGGCAUUGAAAAGUGCUAUGUGUAUACGGCUGAGGUGUGUAGGCUGGAAGGGAUAGGAUUGAAGCUAGUUAAAACAUAGAGACGGAACGAGUGGAAUAUUUCUAUGUGGAUACAAGCUAGACUAUGGAAGCAGUAGUAUUGGAAGCUCAUAGUGAAAGUUGACUAUGUAUGGAAGCCUUGAGGGAAAGUGCCAAUUUAAUUAUUGGUGUGGAAGCUUGAGGUGAAAGGACUAGUUAAUGGGAAGCUAAGCCAAAAGUUGACUACGUUUUUGGAUGGAAGCCUUGAGGGAAAGUACUAAUUUAAUUAUUGGUGUGGAAGCUCAAGGUGAAAGUUUGAAAACAAUUGAUUAAUGGAAAGCUAGAGUGGAAAGUGCUAUGUGAAUAUAGGUCAAGCAGUAGUAUUGGAAACUUGAAAGUGAAAAUUGACUAUGAAAAAAGCCUUGAGGGAAAGUGCCAAUUUAAUUAUUGGUGUHGAAGCYUGAGGUGAAUGGGACUAGUUGAUGGAAGCUACUAGAGUGAAAAGUGCUAGUGGAAGCAUAGUGAUUGAAAGCUAGUGGUUUUGUUUUGAAUUAAUGAUUGACCUCAAAUCAGGUAGGACUACCCGCUGAACUUAAGCAUAUCAAUAAGCGGAGGAAAAGAAACUAACAAGGAUUCCCCUCGUAACUGCGAGUGAAGCGGGAAAAGCUCAAAUUUUGAAU